Molecule: ribosomal RNA, 253 nt
Filed under: uncultured bacterium
Lineage: Bacteria
Description: partial 16S ribosomal RNA
Rfam family: Bacterial small subunit ribosomal RNA
Source: RNAcentral
UACGGAGGGUGCAAACGUUGCUCGGAAUCAUUGGGCGUAAAGCGCACGUAGGCGGCCUGAUAAGUCGGGUGUGAAAGCCCUGGGCUCAACCCAGGAAGUGCACUCGAAACUGUCAGGCUUGAAUAUGGAAGAGGGUCGCGGAAUUCCCGGUGUAGAGGUGAAAUUCGUAGAUAUCGGGAGGAACACCAGUGGCGAAGGCGGCGACCUGGGCCAAUAUUGACGCUGAGGUGCGAAAGCUAGGGGAGCAAACAGG